AUCUCGACGUGGCAGGCAGCGAACGGAGCGGGAGCGGCCGAAACCGAGGGGUUGGAAUUCGAGGUCAUCAAAUCCAACCUAUGACUGAACACCUCCCUGUCAGCUAGACCUUGGCACUAAGUGCCACGUUCAGUCUUUUCUUAGACGCCUUCAGGGGUAGGCAGCCUAUUCCAAUGUCUGACCACCCUUUUUGUGAAGAAAUUCCUCCUAAUCUCCAAAGUGAAGCUCCGCCGGUGCAGCUUGAAGUGAUGUCCUCUCGUCCUGUCACUGAUUUCCUAGAAGGGCCUGCCCCAGCCUGGCUACACGGUCCUUAAAGGUGGUUGUAGACAGCAAUAAAGUGAUCCCCGAGCCUCAGUUUUUUCCAAGCUAAACACCCCCAGUUCCCUCAGCCUCUCCUCACAGGACUUGUGCUCCAGCCCCUUCACCAGCUCCAUUGCUUUUCUCUGGACACGCUCCAGCAGCUCAGUGUCCCUGUAGUGAGGGGCCCAGGCUGAGCACAGCAUUUGAGGUGCAGCCUCACCAGUGCUGAGUGCAGGGUGACAGUCACUUUCGUGGUCCCAGUGACCAAGCUAUUUCUGAUGCAGGUCAGGAUGCCAUCAGCCUUCUUGGCCACCUGGGCACACAUUGGCUCAUGUUCAGCUGCUGUCAGCCAGCAUUCCCAGCUCCUUUUCCGCUAGGCAGCUUUCCAGACACCGUGUCCUAAGCGUGUGGCACGGGGUUGCUGUGACCCAAGUGCAGGACCCAGCACUCAGUCUCACUGAACCUCUUAAAACUGGCCUCGGCCAUCGAUCCAGCCUGUCCAGGUCCCUCUGCAGAGCCUUGCUGCCCUCCAGCAGAUCAACACUCCCACACAACUUGUGUCAGCUGCCAACUUGCUGGGGGUCAACUUGGUCCCCCGGUCGAGGUCAUUGAUAAGGAUGUUAAACAGAGCUGGACACAGUACUGAUCCCCGAGUAGCACCACUAGUGACCAGCUGCCAACUGCAUUAGUUCCAUUCACCACCACUCUCUGGGCCUGUAUUUCAUCCAGCAAGCACUGCACUCACCCAAAUCGUCAGCAGCCAGGAGAGUGCUGUGGGAGCCAAAGGCUUUACUGGAGUCCAGAAAGCACCGCAAGAACCUGCUGGGUCUGAGUGCCACAAUCCAAGCGGUUGACACGAUGGUUUUCACUGCGGCGCCGGGGCACCACCAAGUGGCAGCAUCGUGAAGAGCCGAGCGCUCGUCGGAAAAACAUUUCUGUCUCAAAAAAGAACAAAGGGAGCGGUUCCGCACCUGGAAAUAGCCAGUUUCGGUUUGAUUCGGCUGGUAAAGUAAAUUAAUCUGAAAGGAAUAAAUAUAUUUUUAUUCUGAAGUAAUGAGAUGUAGCCAUAAAUAGGCGUACAGUUGUAGCAAAUUGAAAUAUUUUGAAGAAAGUCUGUGUGACUCAUUAAAACAGUAGGGAACAAAUAUACCACUCUGGCUGUACUCAUCAAAUAAAGCGAACAUUUUAUUUGGAACUAAUUUCGACACAUAUUAGUCUAGUAUUAAUCUUCAACUGUAUUAAUAGAUAUGAUCAAAGUUACUCCAAGGACUCUUCCAGCAGUGCUAAUAUAAAAUAUCAUCUUUUUCAUGCCAUUCUCCCAAAGAUCACAGCAUAACACUGACUCAUUACACAUGGCACACUAAAAAAGAGAAAAUUAUGGCAAAACCAAAAAGAAUGGAGACAAAACUUAAUUUUUUAAAUGUCAGCUCUCUUGACUGUGCAAACAUUCCUUGUUUUACCACAACAGCUAUUAGACAUACCUUACACAGUACCUUUACCACCAUAUUUAAAGCUCCACGGCCGGUUGCCAUGGCAUGAAGGAAACCCAACUAUUGCUUUGCAGUCUCAAAAUACCUGUUUCAAGAGUUUUUAAUGAUUAUCUUGAACGAUAUUGAAGCCAUGUGUCUUGCGGCUGUAGAAAUUCUUUAGAUUAGAAGUCAGAUGGAUAUGGCAGAAGCAGAUAAAGCCUCUGAUCAGGUAAAUAAGCAGAAUCCAAAUAAAAGCACAUUCAAGGUUGUUGUGACAGGAAAUUAAAAAAAUCUUGAACAAUAAGCUAUUUUGCUGUCUUAUAUGGAUCGUGACUGAGUUGCUUUAAGGUGAACUCGGUACAUAAUUCACUGAAAAUACUAAGUCAUAUACCCAUUAUUUUUCUGGAAGGAGGGAGCAACAACAACUAGAACAUCCCUUAUCCAAGAAUCACCAUCCUUGGCAAAGUUAACAAGUAGCUGGAAAAGGGAUGAGUAGUCUGCAGACAGAAUUUUCAUUGAGAAAUUUCUCAUCCAGGUCAUGCGUGGAAGCCUUGAGCCAAGACUCAGCCCAGCCUGAGGAAUGGGCUUAGAGUUAAAUGUUGGAUUAGGAGAAUGUGGCUCAUCAUGCCUGGAAAUGCACAUGGUGUGGAGUUACCAAGAGCUGCCAAAAAGGGGUGGAACAUGAAAAGAAUUCUUCCUGGAGACAUUUUUCAUCCAGGCCAUGGCUGGGUGUGUUGGAGAAGGCUCAGCUGGUGUCUGGGAUUAGGGUUAAUGUUAACAUUACAUACCUGGUUGGGAGCGAGAUAAAACCUGGGGCUACAGUUGGUGGGGGGCAGAAAAGGAGCAGCCAGAGUAAGGGGUAGGCUGCAAAAAUACUUCUUCCCUGAAAUCUCUUUAUUCUGGGUGCUAGGUCAGGAUCUGGAACUAAGGUUCAACCCAUCCUUUGCAUUCAGACUAAGUUAGACUUUUAACGAGGCAGAGACAAGCGCUCCAUUUUGAUAGAAAGAUCUGCUGUAGGAAUUUUCUUAUGAUAACUUGUUCAUCAUGGCUAUGGCUUGGAGACUUCAGUUAGUCUCUGCAGAGACUAACUGACUUCAACCAAAGUUGAAGUUGUAGCUACAAUUAGGCUUAGGGACAGGAAACAGGCCAAGUUUGAAUACCCAUUUGGAGUGGGGCAGGAAAUAAUUAUUUUCAGAGAAGUUUCCAUCUGGUUGAUGGUUAGGGGCUUUGGGCUGUCUCAGCCUGAACCUAUGAUUAGGGAUCUGGUUAUGUUCAGCUUUGAGAAAAGAGAAAAAUCCUAGCGCUUUCUUUGGUCAGGGAUUGAAAAUGGAUUGCCAAAGGAAGGGAUGGGGAUAAAAUAAUUGUUCCCUGAGGACAUGUUCACCUGGACUAUGAUUUGAGAAUGUUGAGCUGGAUCUCACCUGACACCUAGGUUUGGGAUAAGUGUUGGAAGAGACAUAAAGAGCAGAAGCUCCAGUUUAGUCCAGUUAAGCCUCCAAAGAGGCUGCCAAAGGGAACAGUAGACUAUCAGAAUAAUUCUCUCCUGAAGUCUUGUGCUGUUUUCUUGGUUUAGAGGCAAGUUUAGGGGAAAAACACUGUGGAAUGAGUAUUUCCUCUAAAAAAAGAAAAAAAAAAGUUCCAACAGUCCCUUUUUGUCAAUAUGAAUACUAGUGGAUGAAAGUGAAAAAACCCCCCAGCCAUUUAUUGACAAACAGAGUGCCCACAUGGCACAGUAAAAAGUAAAUAAAUGCUAGAUAUUGAAUUGUCAGAACUUAGCCCCCUCCACCCCUAUGCCCACAUACACACCGGAACAAAAACCCAAAAUGCCAGGGAAAAGAAAAAAGCCAACAGCAGUUUGCCUCUUAUGUGUACAAAAUGGGAUGGGUUUUCAGGGAAAAUAAACAAAAAAAACCCCCAGUAGAUUCAAGCAGCAGUUCAGGCAAACAUGUGAAACCUGGUGAAUCUCUGACGUCAGCUCCCUCUUCACAGCAGAGGAAGCAGGUGAGCUUUCUCUUGCUGUCUCAGCUUUUCCCAAGAUGUGAGGCUGAAACAGAGAGGCCCCUCGUCUUUCCCACUAGUCUCUGAUCUCCAGUUCACUUUGAAGUGCUGCUGAAGAAUUGCUGCUGCAGCCUCUUCAAGUCCAGGAAGGACAAAGAAAAACUUCUGCCUGGCCUAACAAAAAAAUCCAUGCUAGCCAAGCAAAAGCCCAGGCCACAUGGCAUGAUGGACACUGGGGGUGAGGCUUUGGAAAAGCUCACUGAAGAGCUUCAAGGCUCCCGUCUCCUUCCAGAUCCACCUUAAAGCUACAGCAACCAUUUUUGGGCAUGAAGCAUGCAAUGAGGGAAUAGACUAAUCAUCAUAAAAUCACCCCAAGACAGCUGUGCUUAAAUUUACAUGAGAACAUGUUUAUCUGAGUCAUAGCUAGGAAUUAAUGGUCUCAUCCAACACAGAGUCUGGGGUAGUUGGGGCAAAGUCCACACAAACACAUAAAUUUGGGGUUGGGAGAGAGACACAGCACAGAGCUCAGUUAGAAGAGAAGCUUGAAGGAGAUUGCUGAAGGAAGGUGAAUGUUGCAAAAAAAAUUGUUCCCCGAGAGCUUGUUUACCUGGGACAUGGCUGGUGGACCUGGGCUAGUGCUCAAUUGUCUUCUCAGAGUGGUCAAUGAUUGCCUUGUCAGAGUGGUCAAAGCAAGACAGAAUAGUUACAGUUUUUGUGAAGCACUGCUUCUGGAAGGAUUUCUUUCCUAAGGGAAAAGGAAGAGCUCGUUAUAUGAGUAACCCAUGUCCCAUUCUGACCUUCAAAGUUCACCUUUUUUUUUUUCCUGUUGGGAUGGUCAGCUUUUUGGGUUGAGACAGAAUCCUAAAUCAAAAUUCCCUGUUAAGGAGUAAUGUGUUCUUCAAAGUCUUUUUCAAUUUUACAUGAUUUUUCAUUUUAUUUCACAUUCUUGUGCAUAACCAUAUAAUUCAAAUACAGAAACGUUCUGCUAAAAAUACUAAACUUAAUUCCCUGUACAAAGGAAAAGUCUGUUCUCAUUAACCUUGCCAUAAGUAGUGUUUAGUCAUCAAAGUUAAGUUGUCAUUAUGACUGAUAGAGCUCAGUGCCUUGGGAGGUGAAGAACACUUUGGCAUGUUCAAAUUUCUAUCAGCCCCAAACAGAAAAAUAAAUAAGCAAAGACUUGCUACCCAUCUGAGAAAAAAACUCCUUGAAUUAAUGGAAAGCAAACACCAAAUUAUAGGCCUAUUAGCUCAUAUCAUUGGUUAUAUAAAACUGUAUUAAGUGUACAUUAAAUAUGGGUGUUUGGAGA
This is a long non-coding RNA of Passer domesticus (house sparrow), 5073 nucleotides long. RefSeq lists it as uncharacterized. The record is from RefSeq and is a predicted model, not a curated record. Lineage: Eukaryota; Metazoa; Chordata; Aves; Passeriformes; Passeridae. The transcript has 2 exons.